GACGAACGCUGGCGGCGUGCUUAACACAUGCAAGUCGAACGGAAAGGCCCUGCUUUUGUGGGGUGCUCGAGUGGCGAACGGGUGAGUAACACGUGAGUAACCUGCCCUUGACUUUGGGAUAACUUCAGGAAACUGGGGCUAAUACCGGAUAGGAGCUCCUGCUGCAUGGUGGGGGUUGGAAAGUGUCGGCGGUUGGGGAUGGACUCGCGGCUUAUCAGCUUGUUGGUGGGGUAGUGGCUUACCAAGGCUUUGACGGGUAGCCGGCCUGAGAGGGUGACCGGCCACAUUGGGACUGAGAUACGGCCCAGACUCCUACGGGAGGCAGCAGUGGGGAAUAUUGCACAAUGGGCGGAAGCCUGAUGCAGCAACGCCGCGUGCGGGAUGACGGCCUUCGGGUUGUAAACCGCUUUCGCCUGUGACGAAGCGUGAGUGACGGGAAUGGGUAAAGAAGCACCGGCUAACUACGU
RNAcentral lists this ribosomal RNA (467 nucleotides) under uncultured bacterium. Its description in RNAcentral is "partial 16S ribosomal RNA". It matches the Rfam family "Bacterial small subunit ribosomal RNA", at positions 28 to 506 of the family's 1533-position model. The record is from RNAcentral.